RNAcentral lists this ribosomal RNA (509 nucleotides) under uncultured bacterium. RNAcentral's name for it is "bacterial SSU rRNA". It matches the Rfam family "Bacterial small subunit ribosomal RNA", at positions 15 to 518 of the family's 1533-position model. The record is from RNAcentral.
GAUCAUGGCUCAGGAUGAACGCUGGCGGCAGGCUAAUACAUGCAAGUCGACGGUAAGGCCGAGUGCAGCAAUGCAUGAGGUACACGAGUGGCGCACGGGUGCGUAACGCGUAUGCAACCUGCCCCCGACCGGGACAAAACAGCUGGAAACGGCUGCUAAUAUCCCAUGGUCAUGAGAAGGGCAUCCUUCUAUGUAAAGAUUCAUUGGUCGGGGAUGGGCAUGCGUAUUAUUAGGUAGUUGGCGGGGUAACGGCCCACCAAGCCGACGAUGAUUAGGGGUCCUGAGAGGGUUAACCCCCACACUGGAACUGAGACACGGUCCAGACUCCUACGGGAGGCAGCAGUAGGGAAUAUUGGGCAAUGGGAGCAAUCCUGACCCAGCCAUGCCGCGUGAAGGAAGACGGCCCUAUGGGUUGUAAACUUCUUUUGCCGCAGAGUAAACCCGGUCACGUGUGGUCGGUUGAGAGUAUGCGGCGAAUAAGUAUCGGCUAACUCCGUGCCAGCCGCAGC